UUGUGCCCAGUAUCCUCUUAGAGCAAGGAAAGGCUAAGAACCCCUGGCCCAACGUAGAUGCUCACAGUGGAGUGCUGCUUCAGCACUACGGCAUGACGGAGAUGAAUUACUACACAGUCCUGUUUGGAGUGUCGAGGGCACUGGGUGUGCUAGCCCAGCUCAUCUGGAGCAGAGCCCUAGGCUUCCCUCUAGAAAACCCCAAGUCCAUGAGCACAGAUGGUCUGAUAAAGUUUGUGGACUCUAAGUCAGGGUAAAAUGGGAGAUUGGGGAGGAGGGGGCUGGGAAACUGACUAUAAGAAAAUGAGGAAGUUUAAAAAUAAAGUAUAAUUUUGUUUUGUUUCGGGGGCCUUUAAGACUUAAGAUUACACUGAAUCUGAGGCAUUAGAAAUACAUUUGAAGUCAAAAUAUAAAUUAACACUUGAAAGGCAAAAUGACCCCUUUUCCCCUCACCAGUUCACUUCCCCUUCCUGGUAUGAGUUGCCCACUGGCUGUAGGAUGACCAGGACUGAUGCAUGUGGUCAGGGUUAGAUCUGGCUACCCACCCUCUCUAGAG
This 553-nucleotide long non-coding RNA is filed under the name Rattus norvegicus (Norway rat). RNAcentral describes it as "long non-coding RNA NONRATT026711". Lineage: Eukaryota; Metazoa; Chordata; Mammalia; Rodentia; Muridae. The record is from RNAcentral.